Molecule: unclassified non-coding RNA, 520 nt
Filed under: uncultured Glomus
Lineage: Eukaryota; Fungi; Glomeromycota; Glomeromycetes; Glomerales; Glomeraceae
Description: SSU rRNA
Rfam family: Eukaryotic small subunit ribosomal RNA
Source: RNAcentral
AGCAGCCGCGGUAAUUCCAGCUCCAAUAGCGUAUAUUAAAGUUGUUGCAGUUAAAAAGCUCGUAGUUGAAUUUCGGGGUUAGUAGGUUGGUCAUGCCUCUGGUAUGUACUGGUCUCACUGAUUCCUCCUUCCUGAUGAGCCGUAAUGCCAUUAAUUUGGUGUUGCGGGGAAUUUGGACUGUUACUUUGAAAAAUUGAGUGUUUAAAGCAAGCUAACGCUUGAAUACAUUAGCAUGGAAUAAUGAAAUAGGACGUUCGAUCCUAUUUUGUUGGUUUCUAGGAUUGACGUAAUGAUUAAUAGGGAUAGUUGGGGGCAUUAGUAUUCAAUUGUCAGAGGUGAAAUUCUUGGAUUUAUUGAAGACUAACUACUGCGAAAGCAUUUGCCAAGGAUGUUUUCAUUAAUCAAGAACGAAAGUUAGGGGAUCGAAGACGAUCAGAUACCGUCGUAGUCUUAACCAUAAACUAUGCCGACUAGGGAUCGGAUGAUGUUAAUUUUUAAUGACUCAUUCGGCGCCUUAACC